CCCUUAGAUGUCCUGGGCUGCACGCGUGCUACACUGAUAUUGCCAAUAUGUCAUUCUUAUCCGAAAUGGAUUGGGUAAUCAAGUAAUGAAAUUUCAUGCUUGGAAUCGGUAAUUGCAAUUUUAUCGUGAACGAGGAAUUCCUAGUAAGCACUAGUCAUCAGCUAAUGUUGAUUAUGUCCCUGCCCUUUGUACACACCGCCCGUCGCUACUACUGAUUGGGUGUUCAAGUGAGAUGCUUAGACCCUUGUUGCAUGGUUCAUUAUUGUGCUCCGAAAGGAAAAAGUUUCAAGCUUGAGUGUCUAGAGGAAGUAAAAGUCGUAACA
This 323-nucleotide ribosomal RNA is filed under the name uncultured eukaryote. RNAcentral describes it as "partial 18S ribosomal RNA". It matches the Rfam family "Eukaryotic small subunit ribosomal RNA", at positions 1470 to 1796 of the family's 1831-position model. The record is from RNAcentral.